This 450-nucleotide ribosomal RNA is filed under the name uncultured bacterium. RNAcentral's name for it is "partial 16S ribosomal RNA". It matches the Rfam family "Bacterial small subunit ribosomal RNA", at positions 354 to 796 of the family's 1533-position model. The record is from RNAcentral.
GUGGGGAAUAUUGGACAAUGGGCGAAAGCCUGAUCCAGCCAUGCCGCGUGUGUGAAGAAGGUCUUCGGAUUGUAAAGCACUUUAAGUUGGGAGGAAGGGCAGUAACCUAAUACGUUAUUGUUUUGACGUUACCGACAGAAUAAGCACCGGCUAACUUCGUGCCAGCAGCCGCGGUAAUACGAAGGGUGCAAGCGUUAAUCGGAAUUACUGGGCGUAAAGCGCGCGUAGGUGGUUCAGUAAGUUGGAAGUGAAAUCCCCGGGCUCAACCUGGGAACUGCUUUCAAAACUGCUGAGCUAGAGUACGGUAGAGGGUGGUGGAAUUUCCUGUGUAGCGGUGAAAUGCGUAGAUAUAGGAAGGAACACCAGUGGCGAAGGCGACCACCUGGACUGAUACUGACACUGAGGUGCGAAAGCGUGGGGAGCAAACAGGAUUAGAAACCCUGGUAGUCC